RNAcentral lists this unclassified non-coding RNA (167 nucleotides) under soil metagenome. Its description in RNAcentral is "partial contains 5.8S ribosomal RNA, internal transcribed spacer 2, and large subunit ribosomal RNA". The record is from RNAcentral.
AACGGUCUAUACCUGCGGUACCUGCGGAGGGAUCAUUAGUGAACGCCCUCACGGGCUUAUAACUAUUCCAAACCUCUGUGAACCGUGCCCUUCGGGGCUAUUUUACAAACAUGGUGUAAUGAACGUCAUAUAUCAUAACAAAACAAAACUUUCAACAACGGAUCUCU